GCUGUUAUAAGGGGUCAGACGAGGUCAGGGGGGAAAUCGUAAAGUGUUUUGAACAGAAACCAGGACCAGCCUGUGCUAAACACUUCUAUAUUGUUGUGGUCAAUAGUGGAGAACAUCUUUGCAUCAACCCGGAUUCCCAAUGGCUGAAAAACAAGAGAGACCAGGAAAAGUUGAGCUGCAGCUCAACUGACGAGCCAGAAUUAGAUGUUGGAGCAAAAACAAAAGGAAAGAAACAUCGAUUUCCCUUUAUUAACACAAACAUAUAAACUUCUGCUUAAGAAACUUUAGCAAUGCAGAAAUAAUUCUGGUUGUUGGUCAAAAUCAUCCAUUUGUUUUGGUCAAAAGGGAAGCAGAUUGUUUGUCUCUGUAAUUAAACGUGUUUUUUUGUUUGUUUGUUUUUACAUUUGGGAUUAUUGUUCCAGUUGAGAAGUAUAAGCUUUGGUUUGAGAUCAUUUCACUUCUCAGCUUUGCAGCUAAACGGCUCACCUUGGAUGUGGCACUAAAAUGAUCAAAAACAUGCUAAUGUUCGAGCUGGCUAGCUAAAGUUAGCAUAUUAGCAUGCUAAUUGUUAUGACUGUUGCCAAAUGUCCAUCUGAGCCAGCAGGUCAGUUUGAAAGUUUAUAGGAAAACUGUG
Molecule: long non-coding RNA, 634 nt
Organism: Poeciliopsis prolifica (blackstripe livebearer)
Lineage: Eukaryota; Metazoa; Chordata; Actinopteri; Cyprinodontiformes; Poeciliidae
Exons: 3
Source: RefSeq, a predicted model, not a curated record